Long non-coding RNA from Lolium perenne, 1364 nucleotides. RefSeq lists it as uncharacterized. The record is from RefSeq and is a predicted model, not a curated record. Lineage: Eukaryota; Viridiplantae; Streptophyta; Magnoliopsida; Poales; Poaceae.
UUGUUUCGUUGUUCUAACAUGUUACCUUUUCUCCGUUGAUACCCUGCAAUAUCUUCUUUUCUAGGAGAUGCAUCAGUUCUAAAUAAAGGUUGGAUUUAUAUAGUUGAUUUGUAUCAUUUAGAUUGCAAUAAGAAGCAUGAGUUGCAAGAGAUGCAAGCCAACAUUUUCCAUUAUGCUCGCUAGGACGGUAAGUGAUCUACCCUCUCCCUGUACCUCCUCGUCCAAUUGCAGACUUCAUCACUUGAGUGAUUUCACUUUGAGUAAGCCCUUCUUAUUUUGUAUUGUUCCAUACUGUUGUUUAUCACCCAAAAUACUUUCCAGUACUGGGUGUAUUGUUCCAUGGUAAAUCUAUAGCUGAUGGAACUCUUCAGUGCUGCAAUCAUAUCCAACCUGGACGAGCAGAAUGGCAACUGUCAGGUCACUUUUAUCGUUGGUAUCGCAUCUAAGUAGGGCCGGUCGAAUAUUUUGAAAAUAUUGACAAUAACGAACAUUGAUGCGGCCGAGUCUACACUGAAUAAUCAUGGUUAACUACUGUGUCGACACUUGACACAAGGGGUAAGUUUUCUCACUGACAUUUGAGUUUUCGGUCAGUCAAUGCUAAUCAGUGUAACCUUCAAUUGUGUGCUAAAAUAUGCUUGACUAAUCUUGCCUUCAAUUUUUUUUUCCUGUCAUCUUCAUUUUUUAAAUUCCGAGUUGAUUAUUAAAUGGAAAGUUAGCACACGAACACUGCAAUCAGUUUGACGUAACUUAUGGUAACUACAGUGGGAUAUUAAUUCAAUUUUUUCUAUUUUUUCUUCAAAUAGGUUAAUGUACCCAGCACCAUCACUUCGAUAUCUAACACACUUUUUGUUCAGUAUUUCUCUGGUUUGAUUAGCUUAAACAUAGAAUUAUUGAGAUAUUUAUUAAAAAUUAUCCUAUUUUUGUAAAGAUUAUGUAAAUUUGAAGCAUGAUAUUCUGGUGCAAAAGACCAAAUAGUUACCUGAUUUAUUUACAGACAAGUUCAAUCUCAGAGAUCUCCGUGCAGAAUAUCAAUUAUUGAUGCCUACUAUUCAUGUAUCAAGCUUUGAAAUUUGGAGGUUCUCAUUUUGAUGAGCUUCAUUAGCUCGAGAAGCUGAAGUAUGAUAAUUAAUCAGCCAUGCAUCUCCGAUGAUGUACAUCAACUAUAUACUAUGUAAAAAAAUUAUAGUUUGAUAUAAAUAGGUAAACUUAUCAUCCAUUGUAAUAUCUAAAAAUACAAUUGUAUAAAGUCCAGGAGAGUCCAGGAGAUAUUUCUUUUUUUUUGAAGACAUGUCUAAUUUUCCACAUUUUCUUUCGUUUGAUAGGAGAUUGUGUAAUUUGAAGAACUUUUAUGUCCUAACAUUUUA